RNAcentral lists this ribosomal RNA (164 nucleotides) under uncultured bacterium. RNAcentral describes it as "partial 16S ribosomal RNA". It matches the Rfam family "Bacterial small subunit ribosomal RNA", at positions 1337 to 1500 of the family's 1533-position model. The record is from RNAcentral.
AGUAAUCGCGGAUCAGCAUGCCGCGGUGAAUACGUUCCCGGGCCUUGUACACACCGCCCGUCACACCAUGAGAGUCGGGAACACCCGAAGUCCGUAGCCUAACCGCAAGGGGGGCGCGGCCGAAGGUGGGUUCGAUAAUUGGGGUGAAGUCGUAACAAGGUAUC